RNAcentral lists this ribosomal RNA (470 nucleotides) under uncultured bacterium. Its description in RNAcentral is "partial 16S ribosomal RNA". It matches the Rfam family "Bacterial small subunit ribosomal RNA", at positions 28 to 507 of the family's 1533-position model. The record is from RNAcentral.
GACGAACGCUGGCGGCGUGCUUAACACAUGCAAGUCGAACGGUGCAUGCGGGAGUAUGCUCCCUCCGGUUCAGUGGCGAACGGGUGAGUCACUUGUGAGCAAUAUGCCCCCCCCUAUGGGAUACGCGUAGGAAAUGAUGUCUUAUAACCGAUAAGACGCCGGCGGUGAAUGUGCCCGCGUUGAAUGAACUACGGUUGGGGAUGAGCUCGGAGCCUGUCGGCUUGCUGGUGCGGUACUGGCACACCAAGGCGCCGACCGGGAGCCGGCCUGAGAGGGUGACCGGCCACGCUAGGACGGAGACACGGCCCAGACUCCAACGGGAGGCAACAGUGGGGAAUAUUGCACAAUGGGCGCAAGCCUAAUGCAGCAACGCCGCGUGGGGGAAGACGGCCUUCGGGUUGUAAACCUCAUUUAGCAUAGAAGAAGCGAAAGUGACGGUACCGGCAGAAAAAGCACCGGCUAACUACGUG